AGUGAACGCUGGCGGCAGGCCUAACACAUGCAAGUCGAGCGGCAGCACGGCAAUAGCAAUAUUGUGGGUGGCGAGCGGCGGACGGGUGAGGAAUGCAUCGGGAUCUACCCUGUCGUGGGGGACAACGUAGGGAAACUUACGCUAAUACCGCAUGAUCUGGAGACAGCAAAGCCGGGGACCUUCGGGCCUGGCGCGAUGGGAUGAGCCGAUGUCCGAUUAGCUAGUUGGCGGGGUAAAGGCCCACCAAGGCGACGAUCGGUAGCUGGUCUGAGAGGACGACCAGCCACACUGGAACUGAGACACGGUCCAGACUCCUACGGGAGGCAGCAGUGGGGAAUAUUGGACAAUGGGGGCAACCCUGAUCCAGCCAUGCCGCGUGAGUG
This 383-nucleotide ribosomal RNA is filed under the name uncultured bacterium. Its description in RNAcentral is "bacterial SSU rRNA". It matches the Rfam family "Bacterial small subunit ribosomal RNA", at positions 30 to 407 of the family's 1533-position model. The record is from RNAcentral.